GGUUAAUAUUCCUGUACUUGGUGUUACUGCGAAGGGGGGACGGAGAAGGCUAUGUUAGCCGGGCGACGGUUGUCCCGGUUUAAGCAUGUAGGCUGGUUAUCCAGGCAAAUCCGGAUAACCAAGGCUGAGGUGUGAUGACGAGGCACUACGGUGCUGAAGUAACAAAUGCCCUGCUUCCAGGAAAAGCCUCUAAGCAUCAGGUAACAUCAAAUCG
RNAcentral lists this ribosomal RNA (214 nucleotides) under Klebsiella pneumoniae. RNAcentral describes it as "partial 23S ribosomal RNA". It matches the Rfam family "Bacterial large subunit ribosomal RNA", at positions 1428 to 1644 of the family's 2925-position model. The record is from RNAcentral. Lineage: Bacteria; Pseudomonadati; Pseudomonadota; Gammaproteobacteria; Enterobacterales; Enterobacteriaceae.